UGUUUGUUUUGUUUAUACAUGCACUGGGUAUAGUCAGAAGCGCGGGAGGGUGAGAGAAUUCACCAGAGCCAGAGCGAGGAGCAGAACAGGCAGAAGGACCGAAGCACACUGCUGAGGGGAGCAGCGGGUGGCAGGAGAGGUCUGCGCACCAUGUGGGAUCCUCCUCCGGGGCCGGGGAGCAGCCGGGGAUCGAACCGGCGCCGAAGAGGCUGUGGGCAGCUUCGCAACCCAGCGCUCAACCGCUGCGCCACCGGGGAGGCCCAAGAGGACCCCAUUCUCUAUUUCAGGGCCCCAUUUUCUAUUUCAGGGCCCCAUUCAGGAUACACUAUUACAUUAAAUUGAUGUGACUUCUUAGGCUCCUUUUGGCUGUGACACUUUCUCAGAUGUUCUUCAUUUUGAUGACCAUGGCAGUUUUGAAGAGUACUGAUCAGUCUAAACCACAAGGAAAGGUUUAAACAAAUGCCAGUGGUGGUGGAAAUGACAAGGUCUAUAAGACUACAGAAAAAAGAAGGAAUAAGUCCUGGAGUGCAAGUGACUAGUGAGAUCUUCUAGCAGAAGGGCCUUUGGGUGAAGACCUAGAAACUUGGUGCAGUGGCAACCAGGCACAAGGUGUGCACCAUCAGGCAGCGUGCACCGCGCCCACGCUCCCAAGCUUCUCCUGCAUUAAAACAAUCAAGGCUGCAGGUGAUAGUCAGAAGCUGGCAGCGUAAAAGCCUGAGCAACUUCACUUCUUCCACACUUGGAAAGGAGUUCUGAAGUGGGAAGGUGACCUAGGAACUGUUACAGUUGGAACCUAGUUACAGCAGACUAAACUUUGAAACUGGAGAAUUUCUGUAAGUUCUUCUUGCUGAAAUUAUUUCAUGCACUGUGAACUUGAAGGUCAGGGAGAAGAAUGUCUGCUAUUGGGAGGCACAUUCAAGAUAGCACCAAGAGGCUCCCUGCUUCACUGUUCAGACCAUCAUUAGUGAAGUACUGUACCCAGAGAGUCCUGUGGGUGAAAAUCUAGAACACCUGUUGAACAUCAGAGCACGUGUACAGACUGUGCCAGAGACUCACUUCAGUGACCUAGAGAUUCCCAUGAGGUCUGUGUAAACUGUCUCCUUUGUAUGAAGCUGAAGGUUCAAGAUAAGUCUUAAGGAUUUAAUCAGCAGUUAUCCAUGUGGGAUGAGGGGAAGUCCAAGAAGAAAUUACACAAGGAAAGAGCUGUUUACCUGUCAUUGCCUCGCAGCAUCUUGGGAUCAAAGUAUCUGUAGUCAUCCGUUUCCUUUAAAAACAAACAAACAAACAAAAAACAAAAAUACUUUGUAAUGACUAUGGGCUUUCUCUUUAGAAAGUUUGGCUUAGAUGAAUCUAUUAACUUGAUAUUAUGUCUAACAACCAAUACCAAUAUUUACCAGACAUUUGUUAUGUUUUAAACAUUGUUCUAAGUGCUUUAGAGGAAAUUGCUCACUUAAUCCCUAUAACAUCUAUAAGUUAUUGCUAUCCUUUUCACACGGGCAAGUCGGGGUACACAGAGGUCACAUGGUUUAUUAAAUAUGAGAACUCCAGGACUUGAACCAGUUAUUUUAGUUAUCAGUUUAUUUUAGUUAUCAAUUUAUUUUUCUAAUCUCUUCAGUGCCCAAACUCUUCAGCAUUAUGUGUCUUGAAAAUAUACCUCUUAUGAGCUUAUG
Talpa occidentalis (Iberian mole) is the source of this 1670-nucleotide long non-coding RNA. RefSeq lists it as uncharacterized. The transcript has 9 exons. NCBI's taxonomy places the organism in Eukaryota, Metazoa, Chordata, Mammalia, Eulipotyphla, Talpidae. The record is from RefSeq and is a predicted model, not a curated record.